UACCCAACAAGCAAACCUCUAAACACAAGUUAAGUGAACAAAAUACGGGCACUCCUUACACCAUAUCUAAACCUCCACGAUACAGUCUAAUAGGUUACAGUUUACCAAACACACAACUCAAUAACCAUACUCUAUCAGUUUACACAUUCUCAAUAACAACUCAAUAUUCAACAGUCACAAGCUUCACAGAGAAACACUCACAGGAUCAACAAAACACAUGUUCAAGUUCAUCAAUAAUAAAAUGUGUAAUGCCAUGAGAUGCAAUGUCAAAUAUAGUGAUGCAUGUCUUCCCUAACGAUACACACCCGCUGUCUCUCAGUCCGGGACCCAUGGGGGACAUAUCUGUCCAUGCAUCUGUCGCGGCGCACGACACGACCCUCGAUAAGUAGUAACCUUCGCGGCGCGCGAUACGUCCCUCGAAAUUAGUACACCAUCCUCUUACCACAACAAUGUCUCAGAUACAAUGCAAAUGACAUGCUCAAAUGAAAAGGGAGGAGAUAACCAUUUGAUAACCAAACACAAUUUACAACAAGAAAUACAAUACCAACAAAUAAACAACAAGUCUCUAAAUCAUUCUCAACAUCACACAAGGAUAUACACGAAUUUCGUACGCUUAACAAGAGUUUAGAAAUCCACUUGCCUCAAAUAGUCGAACAAUCACUCUGAACUUGAGCCUUUUCCUUUCGUUGUACUUCCAAACCAAUACAAUCUAUUCCUAUUAACGAUCACAAUAAGAUUUUAAACCUAACAACAUCCAUAUCACUACGUGUCUAACAUAGACCAAAAAUCAUAGAGCACAAAUUUAUAAUCAAGUUCUCAACUUUUGAUGUCAUUUGACAUGUCAACUCUUUUAACUUUUCUCCAAUUUUCAAGUUUACGAUUAAGUCUUAAUUCCUCAAAUAUCACAAGUCUAAUGCUACUCGCAAAAUACAUUACACUUUAUACUUAUUUACCUAUCUCAAUAUAUCAAAACUUAAAUUAUAUGUGACAAUUAUAACAAGGAAUUAGAGAAACACUAAAAAUCAAAAUCAUGGACAUAAUAUUUUAGUUACAAGAAAACCCAAAAUUUUUCAGAACUCAAAUUGACAUAGGUUAUAUUCUUAGAAACUAUCCCUCAACAAUUAAUUAUCUUUACUGAUCGAUAAUUACCCUCAAUUUUUUUUUAAUCGUCAUUAACAUUACCACUAUGAUAAAUAUAUAUAUAUAGAAAUCACGUUCAAGUUGGUACAAUUUCAAUUCUGAUCCACUGUAACUUACAAAUAAUAAUAUAAUUAAUAAAGUUAACAAUUUGAUUCCUUACUCAUUUUCACACAUUAUUAUAAUGAUAAUUAUGCUUGUACUACAUUUGACCUCAAUAUUUUCAAUUGCAUAAUGAAUGAAAAAUUCAUGAACAUUACCUGAUCGUGGAUUGCAGUUCUACGCCAAUCGUCGCUAUACGCAGGUGUCUCCUUUUCUUUUCUUAAAGUUAUAAACUAAAAACUCUCUAACCCUAAUAAUUUAUUUCCUAUAAGGGUAAUUGGUAUAUGGUAAAAAAUAAAAUUUUUAUAAACUUAACCAUAAUUAUUAAUUACAAUUAGUUAUUUAAUAAUUAGUCAUAAAUUAAUUUAUUCUUAAUUAAAUUAAUAUUUAAAAUUUUCAAAAAUGACCUUUCGGGUCAUUACAUUAUCCACCACUAAAAACCAUAUUCGUCCUCGAACAUAAGGUGAAAGAAAGUACCUGAAGCCUCAAAAAGUUGAGGAUAUCUGGCACGCAUGUCAGACUCAGUCUCUCAAGUUGCCUCUCUCACUGAUCGGUGCUUCCACUGCACCUUCACUGAAGCAAUCUCCUUGGUUCUAAGCUUUCGAACCUGCCUAUCCAAAAUAGCUAUAGGCUCCUCUUCAAAUGUCAAGUCUGGACCCAACUCCACAGAAUCAAGUGAAAUCACAUGAGAUUCAUCCGGAAUAUACUUCCGAAGCAUAGAGACAUGGAAAACAGGAUGAACUGCCGACAAACUAGGUGGCAAGGCCAACUUAUAGGCCACCUCUCCCACUCGGCUCAAAAUCUCAAAAGGUCCAAUGAACCUAGGGCUAAGCUUGCCCUUCUUUCCAAACCUCAUUACACCCUUCAUGGGUGAUACUCGGAGCCAAACAUGAUCACCCUCCAUAAACACCAAGGCUCUAACUCUCCGGUCUGCAUAACUCUUUUGUCGACUCUGAGCUGUCAAUAAUCUAUACUGAAUCAUACGAACUUGCUCCAUAGCAUCUCUAAGCAAGUCUGUAUCCAAAGAGUCCAUCUCCGCCGAAUCAAACCAACCAAUAGGAGAUCUACACCGUCUACCAUAUAAUGCCUCAAAUGGGGCCAUUUGGAUACUAGAGUGAUAACUGUUAUUAUAGGCAAACUCCGCUAAGGGUAAAUGUCGAUCCCAUCUUGCACCAAAAUCGAUCACACACGCUCGAAGCAUAUCUUCCAAUACCUGAAUGGUCCGCUCAGAUUGACCAUCUGUCUGAGGGUGAAAUGCCGUACUCAUAUCUAACUGAGUACCCAGACCAUGUUGUAAUGCCUUCCAGAAGUGAGAAGUAAAUAGUGAACCUCGAUCUGAUAUGAUAGAAAGAGGAACUCCAUGUAGUCGCACAAUCUGGCUGAUAUAUAGUUCGGCUAACUUUUCUGCUGUAUACUUUACCCGAACCGGGAUGAAGUGGGCAGACUUGGUCAGUCUAUCAACAACAACCCAAAUAGAGUCAUAACCACCCACUGUGGUAGGCAAACCCACAACAAAGUCCAUAGUAAUCCGCUCCCACUUCCAAGUAGGAAUAGGCAUCCUCUGAGAUACACCCCCUGGCCGCUGGUGCUCACAUUUGACCUGCUGGCAAGUCAAACACCUAGAAACAAAGUCUGAAAUAUCUCUCUUCAUCCCACACCACCAGUAAUGCUGACUCAGAUCAUGAUACAUCUUUGCCGCUCCCGGAUGGAUGGAAUACCGAGUACAAUGGGCCUCCUCAAGAAUCAAUCUAAUCAAAUCGCCUGUCCUGGGCACACAAAUUCUGCCUCCGAUCCGCAAGACACCAUCAGAAUCAAGGACAGCCUCCUUAGCUUCCCCUCUCAAUACUUUGUCUCGAAUGAGACAUAAUUUUUCGUCAUCAAAUUGGUGUGCACGAAUUUGCUCGACUAAAGAAGACCGAGCCUCAAUAAAAGCAAUCAUCCCAUCACUCUCUUCUGAAAUCUGCAAGCGGACAAGACUGUUAGCUAAUAUCUGCACAUCUCUAGCCAAUGGUCUCUCCAUAAUACUAAGCGCUGCAAGACUCCCCAUGCUAGGAGUCUUCCUACUCAGAGCAUUGGCCACAACAUUGGCCUUUCCUGGAUGAUACAGAAUGGUCACAUCAUAGUCCUUCAACAACUCAAGCCAUCUCCGUUGCCUCAAGUUCAAAUCCCUCUGGCUAAAGAUAUAUUGAAGACUCCGAUGAUCAGUGAAGAUCUCACAAUGCACCCCAUACAAAUAAUGACGCCAUAACUUAAGUACAAAUACCACAGCCGCCAACUCCAAAUCAUGAGUAGGGUAGUUUUUCUCAUGGGAUUUCAAUUGCCUAGAAGCAUAAGCAAUCACUUUCCCCUUCUGCAUCAACACACCACCCAAACCAACUCCUGAAGCAUCACAAUACACAGUAAAGUCUACACCUUCCUCAGGUAGAGUCAAAACAGGAGCAGAAGUCAACAAAGUCUUGAGUUUUUGAAAGCUCUCCUCACACUCAUCAGACCACUGAAAACUCACAUCCUGUCGAGUCAAUCUAGUCAAUGGAGCUGCAAUAGUAGAGAAACUCUGAACAAAUCGUCGAUAAUAGCCUGCCAAUCCCACAAAACUCCUAAUCUCAGUAGGUGAGGUAGGUCGCGUCCAGCCUCUAACUGCCUCAAUUUUGGCUGGAUCUACUCUAAUACCCUCCUUGGACACCACGUGCCCCAAGAAUGUCACAGAAGUAAGCCAGAACUCACACUUUGAGAACUUGGCAUACAACUUCUCUUCUCUCAACCUCUGGAGUACAAUCCUCAGGUGUCGGACAUGGUCCUCCUCAGUCUUAGAGUAAUCAAGAUGUCAUCGAUGAAAACAAUCACAAAAGAAUCAAGGUAUGGUCGAAACACCCCAUUCAUCAACUCCAUGAAUGCUGCAGGGGCAUUAGUCAAUCCGAAGGACAUCACUAGAAACUCAUAAUGCCCAUACCGGGUCCGAAAAGCUGUCUUAGGGAUAUCUGAUGCCCUAAUCUUCAACUGAUGAUACCCAGACCUCAGAUCAAUCUUAGAGAACAAUGAUGCUCCCUGUAACUGGUCAAAUAAGUCAUCAAUACGCGGAAGAGGAUACUUAUUCUUAACUGUUACUUUGUUCAACUGUCUGUAAUCAAUACACAUUCUCAUAGUCCCAUCCUUCUUCUUCACAAACAAUACAGGGGCACCCCAAGGUGACACACUAGGGCGAAUAAAACUCUUACUCAAUAAAUCCUGCAACUGAUCCUUCAAUUCUUUCAACUCUGCUGGAGCCAUACGGUAUGGAGGGAUAGAAAUAGGCUUAGUGCCUGGCUCCAAAUCAAUAGCGAAAUCGAUGUCCCUAUCGGGAGGAACACCUGGAAGAUCAGAAGGAAAUACAUCGGGAAAAUCCUGAACCACGGGAACAGAAUCCAUGGGAGGUGGUUCAACGCUAGUAUCCCGAAUAAAAGCUAAGUAAGACAAACACCCCCUCUCCACCAAUCUCUGAGCACGGAUAAAAGAGAUGACCUUGCUAGGAUAAGAACCACUAACACUCUUCCACUCAACCCUCGGAACACCAGGCAUUGCUAAAGUCACAGUCUUAGCAUUACAAUUAAGGACAACAUGAUAACGAGAAAGCCAAUCCAUACCCAAGAUAACAUCAAAGUCCACCAUCCCCAGAAUGAUUAAGUCUACCCAAGUGUCAUACCCAGCCAAAGAAACAAGACAGGAUCGAUACACUCGAUCCACCACUAAGGGUUUACCCACGGGUGUAGAAACACGAAUAGGUACAGUCAUACUAUCACAUAUCAUAUCAAAUUUAGCAGCAAAAUACGUAGACACAUAAGAGAAUGUAGAACCUGGAUCAAACAACACAGACGCAGGUCGAUGGCAUACUGGGAUGAUACCUGUAAUAACAGCAUCAGAGGUCUCCGCCUCAGGUCUCCCGGGGAAAGCAUAGCAGUGGCCUCCUCGUCCACCUCCAUCCUGGGUGGUACCUCUACCCCCACUCUGCUGAGCUGCAACACCACUACUAAAAACUCUAUCACCUCUACCUGACUGAACUCUGCCACGACCUCUACCCUGUGGUGCUGGUGGUCUAGUCUGGAAUGAAGAAUUAGGUCGAGGACCACCACGACCCCUUUGUGAAGUACACUGCCGCAUUAGAUGAUCGGGAUCUCCACAAGUAAAACAAAAUCUCUGACCUGGGAACUGUUGUGUGGACCUUGAAAACCCACUAUAAUUUCCUCGCCCUGUAGGUCGCUGCUGUGAACCGUACGAGCUCUGACCCGGGCUAUAAGAACCCCUAGAUGUCUGGCCACCCUCAAAUGUCGGCAUAGAUGCAUGAAUAGGUCCCCGCUGCUGAAAAGAACCACUCACUCUCUGUGAUCCCCUACCUCCAGAUGAGGCACCAUGAAACUGUCCUGAUAUACGGGCUCUUUUAGGGUCCCCAAACUCCUCUCUCUCCAUCAAUUCUGCCUCUUUGGCGGCUCUCACAAUGGACUGAAAAGAAGCCCCCUCCCUAGAUGCCCGAAACACAGCUGACCUGAUAGAGAAAGUCAAUCCCCUCACAAAUCUGCGGAUCCUCUCUGUCUCAUUCGGAAUAAUGGCCAAUGCAUGCCUAGACAACUGGCAAAAACGCGCCUCAUACUCUGUGACCGAUAAACCAUCCUGUCUCAAACUCUCAAACCUCAAGCGACUCUCCUCUCUCACGCUCCAUGGGAUAAAACGAUCUUGGAAUGCACUAGCAAACUGCUCCCAAGUCACUGGAGGAGAUCCAACUGGCAAAACCCCCGAAUAAGUCCUCCACCAGUCUCUCGCUGGUCCACGAAGCUGGAGUGUAGCAUAUCUAACCCCAUGUGACUCAGCUAAUCCAACCACUUCUAGUAACUCUCGGCAGGUAGUUAGAAACUCAUGAGCGUCCUCGCUCUUCCCACCCUGAAACUGAGGUGGGUUCAUCUUUCGAAAUCUCUCAUACCUACGCUGCUCAUCCUCUGUCAGAACAACCAUCGAUGCAACUUGACCCCCAACUGCUGGUGCAAUAUCAUUCUGAACCGCGGGAUCUACUGGUAGUUGCCCCACCGCAUCCUGAACAACCGGAGCUUGUUGCUGCUCUUGGGUCUGAGCCCCCUCUCUAGUACGAGAGUCAUGUGGUGUGGUAGUUGCACCACCACCCUGAGAAAAUCCCUCUAGCACACUUAACACCCUCAAUAGCGUAUCCUGAAGCAAAGGUGUGACUACGGGAUCUGGAGGAACCUGGUCCUCUAUGUCAUCAAUCUGAGGUUCGGUAGAGACCUCUCUAGCACUACCUCUCAAUGGUGCUGCUCCACGUCCACGACCUCUGGCUACUGUCGUACUACUAGCACGACCUCUAGCUCGAGAUCUACCCCUACCCCUAGCUGGGGCCUCAACAACUGCCUCGGAAAGUGCCUCCCCUCUACCACCAGUAACAUUAGUUCUAGUCCUCGUCAUCUGUCAAAAGAGUAUACAACAACUCAGUACUAACGAAGGUAACUACGCACGACGAGAAACAAUGAACAAAAGCAAGUUUCCUAGUAAUCUUUAUAGCCUCUCAAAGAUGAGUACAGACGUCUCCGUACUGACCCUUGAGACUCUACGUAGACUCGGCUUGUAGACACGUGAGACCUAUGAACCUGGGGCUCUGAUACCAUUUUGUCACGACCCAAAAAUGGGUGUGAUGGCACUCGUCUUAUCCCACCAAGACAAGUCAGCCUAAAACCAAAUAUCUAACAAAGUGCGGAAGUAAAUGACAAUCCAACAACAAUUCCUAUUAUGAAACCAAGUUAUAUUAAUCCAAUCCCCAAAAUCAGGUUGUCACGUGCACAAGCCUCUAAUGUAAAUACUAGAAUUGAAAUAAAGUAGAAGUCUGAAUGAAGUUGUCUUUCAAGUAAAAACAAAGUCAUAAACUGGAGUAGGAAAGUUCGCUGAGAUGACAAGCAGCUACCUCACAAUCCUCCACAAGAUGCCUCGGAAACGAAAAGAAUGACAAGUAUCACGAUGAUCCAGGCUCGUAUCCUACAAAAAUUUGUAGAAGCAAGGGGUGAGUACCAAACCACGCGGUACCCAACAAGCAAACCUCUAAACACAAGUUAAGUGAACAAAAUACGGGCACUCCUUACACCAUAUCUAAACCUCCACGAUACAGUCUAAUAGGUUACAGUUUACCAAACACACAACUCAAUAACCAUACUCUAUCAGUUUACACAUUCUCAAUAACAACUCAAUAUUCAACAGUCACAAGCUUCACAGAGAAACACUCACAGGAUCAACAAAACACAUGUUCAAGUUCAUCAAUAAUAAAAUGUGUAAUGCCAUGAGAUGCAAUGUCAAAUAUAGUGAUGCAUGUCUUCCCUAACGAUACACACCCGCUGUCUCUCAGUCCGGGACCCAUGGGGGACAUAUCUGUCCAUGCAUCUGUCGCGGCGCACGACACGACCCUCGAUAAGUAGUAACCUUCGCGGCGCGCGAUACGUCCCUCGAAAUUAGUACACCAUCCUCUUACCACAACAAUGUCUCAGAUACAAUGCAAAUGACAUGCUCAAAUGAAAAGGGAGGAGAUAACCAUUUGAUAACCAAACACAAUUUACAACAAGAAAUACAAUACCAACAAAUAAACAACAAGUCUCUAAAUCAUUCUCAACAUCACCCAAGGAUAUACACGAAUUUCGUACGCUUAACAAGAG
RNAcentral lists this long non-coding RNA (7913 nucleotides) under Solanum lycopersicum (tomato). RNAcentral's name for it is "long non-coding RNA (SLYC_LNC000103)". The record is from RNAcentral. Lineage: Eukaryota; Viridiplantae; Streptophyta; Magnoliopsida; Solanales; Solanaceae.